GACAUUUAUAUUUGAUGCAUAUUAAAUAUUUAUCCUGAUAUUAUUAAUUCAAACCCUAUUCAUGACAGGUUUCAUGCUAAAAUGCAUAGAUGAGAAUUUGUGUGCGUAAUUUUCAGCAAUGGGAGCGCCUUGUGCAAGCAGCAGUCACAGGAUUCCGACGACCCAAAUGAUUCUGACCACAGAAUCCUGCUUUUCAAAAUUCCUGUGAAUCCAUGGAGUACUCCUGUAUCCUCUCAACUACGAAGAAGCAGAGAGUUCCAGCAAAGCCGAGGAUGACCAGAAGCAGGAGCUGCCACGUUAGCAGAAGGUCCUCGUCCACAGCCAUGGAAAUUAAAACACGCCUGAAAAAAAAUCAUAUUGAGGGCCUUUCUUGCCCUCAACAGUUCUCCAUCUUAGCUGGCCAGGAUCUGCCUGAUUGCAGCCUACUCUUCUUGAGUGC
Long non-coding RNA from Xiphophorus hellerii (green swordtail), 439 nucleotides. RefSeq lists it as uncharacterized. The transcript has 3 exons. NCBI's taxonomy places the organism in Eukaryota, Metazoa, Chordata, Actinopteri, Cyprinodontiformes, Poeciliidae. The record is from RefSeq and is a predicted model, not a curated record.